This 345-nucleotide ribosomal RNA is filed under the name uncultured soil bacterium. Its description in RNAcentral is "bacterial SSU rRNA". It matches the Rfam family "Bacterial small subunit ribosomal RNA", at positions 26 to 372 of the family's 1533-position model. The record is from RNAcentral.
AGGACGAACGCUGGCGGCGUGCUUAACACAUGCAAGUCGAGCGGUAAGGCCUUUCGGGGUACACGAGCGGCGAACGGGCGAGUAGCACGUGGGUGAUCUGCCCUGCACUUCGGGAUAAGCCUGGGAAACUGGGUCUAAUACCGGAUAUGACCUCCUAUCGCAUGGUGGGUGGUGGAAAGAUUUAUCGGUGCAGGAUGGGCCCCGCGGCCUAUCAGCUUGUUGGGUGGGUAAUGGACCUACCAAGGCGACGACGGGUAGCCGACUGAGAGGGUGACCGGCCACACUGGGACUGGGACACGGCCCAGACCUCCGUACGGGAGGCAGCGAGUAGGGGAAUAUUGCAAC